CUCCAUGUCCUAAUAAAAUUCCAUUGAAUUCUAUUGUAAAUUUUUUUUUAUUCAUUUCCUUAUUGUAGAAAGUUCGGUAUACGUAAAUUUCUCAUCCCAUUUCUUGCUUAUCCGUUUCUUUUAUGGUAUAGUAAAGUUGCUCCAUAUCCUAAUAAAGUUCUCCUCCAAUACAAUUUUUUUACUUAUUUCCUCCAAUUAAUGCAAAUUCUAGUGAAAAAUAAAUUUGUGAAAU
RNAcentral lists this long non-coding RNA (232 nucleotides) under Amborella trichopoda. RNAcentral's name for it is "long non-coding RNA (ATRI_LNC001343)". The record is from RNAcentral. Lineage: Eukaryota; Viridiplantae; Streptophyta; Magnoliopsida; Amborellales; Amborellaceae.